Non-coding RNA from Lepisosteus oculatus (spotted gar), 647 nucleotides. Lineage: Eukaryota; Metazoa; Chordata; Actinopteri; Semionotiformes; Lepisosteidae. The record is from RefSeq and is a predicted model, not a curated record.
AGCAUUGGAGCGAGAUCGUCGGUGGCGUCGAGUUAAUUGGAAGCGCGAAUUGUAAUUAAAAUUAUUGUAAAAUAUUGACGGAGAGGAAGACGAGGCCGACUCGACGGACGGACGAAAAACAGGCCGGAGCCUAUGUGGAAGACUAACCAGAGGACCAUCGCAGUCCUCACAUACAACCCCUACGUGCCAACGGAACUGGUAACAGCGUACCUAGGGAGCUGGACAGCAGGUGAUAUGCGUUCUCCAGAACCCCCCAGCUACCUGAAGGAGGAGGAGGAGGAUGAUGUGCCUUCAUGUGGUCUUGACUGCCAACACCCCAAAGGCAGGCUCCAGAACGUCAGCUUCCAGUGCAGGUCGAAUUCCCCUCGACUCUCCAGAUCUCCACAACCUGUGAGUGUGACCUCGGGGUUCGGGGUUCAGGUUUCAGAUUUGCGUUUGUCACAAGUUAUGUAAUUCCUUCCAGUGAUGUGAUGUAGCACUUUUCUUGACACUCCAUUCAUAAGCACUUAACAGGUAGCGGGGAUCCCUUCCACCACCACUGGCAGUGCGUCUCCCCAACAGUUCAGAGGUGGGGGAUAUUAGGAGGCCAGGACACCGGGGUAACACCCCUACUCAUUCUGAGAGAUGUCCUGGGAUUUUUAAUGACA